Molecule: ribosomal RNA, 460 nt
Filed under: uncultured bacterium
Lineage: Bacteria
Description: partial 16S ribosomal RNA
Rfam family: Bacterial small subunit ribosomal RNA
Source: RNAcentral
CCUACGGGUGGCCGCAGUGAGGAAUAUUGGUCAAUGGCCGUAAGGCUGAACCCGCCAAGUCGCGUGAAGGAAGAAGGAUCUAUGGUUUGUAAACUUCAUUUGUAGGGGAAUAAAGGUAUCCACGUGUGGAAAUUUGCAUGUACCUUAUGAAUGAGCAUCGGCUAACGCCGUGCCAGCAGCCGCGGUAAUACGGAGGAUGCGAGCGUUAUCCGGAUUUAUUGGGGUUAAAGGGUGCGUAGGUUGUUUUUGAAGUCAGCGGUGAAAGUUUGUGGCUCAACCAUAGAAUUGCCGUUGAAACUGGAAGACUUGAGUUUGUUUGAGGUAGGCGGAAUGCGUGGUGUAGCGGUGAAAUGCAUAGAUAUCACGCAGAACUCCGAUUGCGAAGGCAGCUUACUAAGCCAUAACUGACACUGAAGCACGAAAGCGUGGGGAUCAAACAGGAUUAGACACACCUGUAGUC